Molecule: ribosomal RNA, 492 nt
Filed under: uncultured bacterium
Lineage: Bacteria
Description: partial 16S ribosomal RNA
Rfam family: Bacterial small subunit ribosomal RNA
Source: RNAcentral
AGUGAACGCUGGCGGUAGGCCUAACACAUGCAAGUCGAACGGCCACACAGUAAGCUCUUGCUCUUACCGGUGGCGAGUGGCGGGCGGGUGAGGCAUACAUCGGCAUCUUCUUUUUCGUGGGGGAUAACGUAGGGAAACUUACACUAAUACCGCAUACGACCUACGGCUGAAAGCAGUGGUUCUUCGCACCUUGCCUGUUUCUAUUAGCCGAUGCCGGAUUAGCUAGUUGGCGGGGUAAAGGCCCACCAAGGCAACGAUCCGUAGCUGGUCUGAGAGGAUGAUCAGCCACACUGGAACUGAGACACGGUCCAGACUCCUACGGGAGGCAGCAGUGGGGAAUAUUGGACAAUGGGCGCAAGCCUGAUCGAGCCAUACCGCGUGAGUGAAGAAGGCCUUCGGGUUGUAAAGCCCUUUUGUUGGGAAAGAAAAGCAGCAGGUUAAUACCCCGCUGUUCUGACGGUACCCAAAGAAUAAGCACCGGCUAACUUCGUG